This 41620-nucleotide long non-coding RNA is filed under the name Solanum tuberosum (potato). RNAcentral's name for it is "long non-coding RNA (STUB_LNC009483)". The record is from RNAcentral. Lineage: Eukaryota; Viridiplantae; Streptophyta; Magnoliopsida; Solanales; Solanaceae.
UUCAUCCCUCAAUUUUCAUAUUUCAUAAGUACUAAGCUUUGAAACAAAAAUAAAAGAAUUAAGAAGAAUGGGUUCCAAGGCAAUUAUGUUUCUUGGUCUUUUUUUGGCUAUUUUCUUAAUGAUAAGCUCUGAGGUUGCAGCUAGGGAGUUGGCAGCUGAGACUUCCAAUGGUAAGCAUUUCUUUUCAUUUGUUCCCUCUCUUAGGGUAUGUUCGAUAAAAAAAAAUAUUUUUCAUGAAAAAUAUUUUGUAAGAAAAUAUAAGUGACUUCUUUAUUUACUUUUUUGUGUUCAAUAUCGUGAUAUAAUCUAGACAGAUAUAUAAUUGGUGGGGUUGGAUGGUGACGGUGGGAUGAAGAUGGGGCGAAGAUAAAUAUGUUUGAUCAUAAAAUUUGUCUACUUUUUGAAAAUUAUUUGAAACAAAAUCCCAAAAUUUCAAUCACUAAUGCUGUAGUUUGAUCAUGACACUUAAUAUAUAUUCUUUUUGUUUCAUGUUAUACGUCUCAAUUACUAUGCAUAAAGUAUAAGAAUAUACCAUAAACUUCCCAAACUUUGCUAAACUAAACUAAAGGUAUGUAAAUUAUAUUAUAAAUGCCCUAUGAGUUUUGUGAUCUUAUGUUACAUUGAAAUUAAAAAAAUUACAAUUAAAUAUAUAUAGGAAGAGGAGUACUCAUUUUGAAAUAUAAUAAAAAGGAAAGUACGACAUAUAAAUUGAAGUGCAAUUCAAAGACUAGUAAUGACUCAUCGUACGUGUUAGCUAGUUUAAUUAAUCUUCACAAUUCAUCGAUGCAGCGGUAAACGUUGAUGGACAUUAUUAUGGAGGCGGCUAUGGUAAGGGCCAUGGAAAACCUAAGAAAUGUUAUAGUUGCUGCAAGAAAUACAAAUAUGGAUGCAAAAAAUACUGCUGCUCUUAUGAAGAAUAUGUGGCUGCCCAGACUCACAACUAAAUAAUUAAUUAUUAUUGUAAACUUUUGAAAUUAAGUGACAAGAUACUAAUAAUCUUGCUACUUAAGACCCUUUGCUUGUAACAAGUAUGAAUAAAGCCAUUCAUUUACAAUGAAUGGUUGGUCAUGAUGUAAUGUUUUGUUGUACAAUAUAUCAUAUUGUGUUAAAAAUGUUUCCCUAAUGUUAAGAUUUUCUUCUUAUUUUUACUUAAGUAUUCUAUCAUCCCUUAAUCAUAUGUUUCAAGAUUGAAUCCUGGUCCGAAUAUAGAAUUGUCUUUGUUACAUAGUAUUUUACUCUAUUUGAAUUUUUUACCGUGAAUCCAAUUUAUUUAAGGCAUCUCUAAUUAAGGAUAUUGAACAUUGAGGGGAAAUUUUAAAAUAUUUAAUUUUCUUGUUAUUUAAUAAAGUAAGGAAAACAAUGCAGAAAAAAAGAAACAAUUUGUUCUUUUCUUUGUAUAAUAUUUAAAAAAAUAUAAUCACAGAAGAAAUAAAAUUAAAGCAUGGGGGACAAACGACUAAUAAUGUCAAAUCAUCACUUAUUUUUUUAUUUCUAAUGAACACUUUAGUCAGGGCUGAAAUCGAAAUUUUAUGAAAACAUCACAACAUAUAAACAAAAAUGAACACAUGAGUAAAUUUUAAUGAUUCAAUAUAUGAUACAAUGUAGUAGCUUUUUUCGACGAAGGAGAGUCAAUUAACAAUAUUAGAUAAGGAUGGUUACAUCAUUAAUAUUCACGAUCACCAUUAAGGGCGUAUUUACCUUAAGCUCGCAAUAUAUAUAUGCAACGUCAACCAAAUAACUCACAUUAGGGGUGUACAAAAAUGAACCGAAAACCGAAUUAAACCGCAAAUCGAGAAAAAAAAAUCCGACUAGUGGUUGGUUUGACUUGGUUUGGUAUUGAAAAAAAAACCCAACUAUAUUUGGGUUGGUUUGGUUUUAACUAAAAAAAACCAACCCGAGACCAAACCAACACGUCAUUAUAUAUAUAAUUUUAAAAUUUAUUUUAUAUUUUAUACAUAAAAAUAUUUACUUUGAAAUAAUUUUUAAAUCUUUCUUAUACUUUUUCAUAGUUUUUAUCUUUUAAUAUAUUAUUNNNNNNNNNNNNNNNNNNNNNNNNNNNNNNNNNNNNNNNNNNNNNNNNNNNNNNNNNNNNNNNNNNNNNNNNNNNNNNNNNNNNNNNNNNNNNNNNNNNNNNNNNNNNNNNNNNNNNNNNNNNNNNNNNNNNNNNNNNNNNNNNNNNNNNNNNNNNNNNNNNNNNNNNNNNNNNNNNNNNNNNNNNNNNNNNNNNNNNNNNNNNNNNNNNNNNNNNNNNNNNNNNNNNNNNNNNNNNNNNNNNNNNNNNNNNNNNNNNNNNNNNNNNNNNNNNNNNNNNNNNNNNNNNNNGAAAACAAAAAUACAGAAUGAUUAUUAUGAAAAAAAUAAGUGAACAAAUGGGGUUCUUUUGUAUAUUUUAUUUUUUGUUAUUGCUGAAUUUGCCGAACUUUUACAGCUUGUUUGAGUACUUGUUACCUAUAUAGUUGUAUUUUGGUGGCGAAAUGGUCUAAUAGACCCCUGUACUUGUAUGAGUUUGUAUUGUGAACCCUUCUACUUAACUCUUUAUCAAUUGAACCCUUAAACUUAUAAAACACAAUUUAUCAAACCCCUCUGACCAUUGACUAGGCUUAUGUGGCAUCAAUAUGGUUGAGUUGGCAAGAGUGUGUGAAUUCACUCUCGUUAAGGCGAGUGAUAUCCUAUUUAAGUUUUAAAAAAUAUUAAAAAAUUAAAAAAAAAUAAAACAAUAAAACAAAAAAACUUUAAAAAAAAUAACUAAAAAAGGCUUUCUUCUUCCGCCAACAGGUUCACAUCCAUUUUUGGCCAUCUCCAUCCCUGUCCAAUCCAUUUUUCUUUCUUCUUCACACUCUUGUCAUCUUCUUUAGCAGAUCUUCGCAUUGGCACCUAGAGAGAGACGACGCAGGUCAGUGGAAGAAGAACGAGGCGGUUGAGGGUAGGAUCUGGUCACGACAGCGAAGAGGUUUUUCGGUCAGAUCUGGUGGCCAUGGUGCGACGGAGAUGAAGACGGGUGAGGAAGAGGGCACGUAUGGUCGCCGGCAAGAGUUGCGACGACGACUGAGACGGCGGCGAGGAGCCUCCUAGAAUAUUUGUAUGCCGGAGACAGUAAGGGGUUUCUUGGCCUUCUGAUACUCCGGAGAGGAUGAAGAGCAUAUCGGUCGGUGAUGGUGAGGGGAGAGAAGCUAGUGCGGUGGCUUAGGGUUUCUAGAUUUGUGGAGGUUAGAGAAGGAGAAAAGAAAAUGGUAAGGGUGUGCGAUGAAGAUGGAGGUUGGUGGGGAGAUCGUAUUUGUGGUCUCGCCGGCAAGAGGAGCGGCAACAGCAGCGACUUUUUCCGACAGUUGGGCCAUUUCACGGUGAAAAUGGAAGAUGAUGUGAGGAGACCCAAACUUUUAAUUUAAAAUAAUAAAUUAAAAUUUAAUUUGUCAAAAUUACAUCAAAACUUUAUGAUUUUUCUUUUGUUAAAAAAGAAAUUAUUAUAUAAAAAAAAAAUGAUGUGGCAAAUUUUAUCUGACAUAGCGUAUGACAUUAGCGUGAUUGAGAAUCACGAUGAGUUGAAAGGGUUCAAUAGGUUGAGUUUAGAUGGGUUCAGGGGUCCAUAUGACAAAGAGGUAAGUAGAAGAAUUCACAAUACAAACGCAUACAAGUACAAGGGUCCACCAGAUCAUUUUGCCUAUUUUGGUAGGACUAAAGAAAUAUUUGAAGUACAAGUAAAUUAUAUGUUCGUAUGAAUACUUUACCGGAAAAACCCGAAAAAUCCGAGGUUGAAAAACCCGAGUUUUAUUGAUUUGGUUUGGUUUAUAGAUUUAAAAAUUCAACACAAAUGGUUGGAUUUGAUAAUUGAAAAAUCCGAACCAACCCGGUCAUGUACACCCCUAACUCACAUGAUUAUGAAUCAAGGAAAAGAAUAAAUAAUUUUCGUCAUGUUGUGCAAAAAUAUAUAUUUCUAAUCUUAUUAAUAUUAGGUUAGGGGGAAACCUUUUUUGGGUUAUUUAUUAUUUCUAUCUAUAUUUUGUGUAUAUAUAUAAAAAAAAAAUUGCAUAAUAUAUAAACGUAUCCUUUAAUUUGGUCUCAACUGACAUCUAGCCCUCCAACUUUGGAUGUGCACAAGUAGGGACUUAAACUUGUAUAGAGUUGAACAAGUAGACACACUAGUCCUACGUGACAUAAUACGCAUAGGACACCAUGUACGACACAAAUUAUCAUGUAGGACAUGUAUAUCUACUUGUUCUAUUAUAUAUAAACUUAAGUGUUUACCAUUAGUACACAUCCAAAAUUAAAGGUUAUAAAUAUCGAUUAAGGUCAAAAUAAAAUAAUAUUUUCAUGUAUUAUACUUGUUUUUUUAGAAGACUUUUCUUGAGUUAUAAAGCAAUAAAGAGAGUUGGCCCCUCUUAUUUAACUUGAUACGUUGUACAUUAAAAGAGUCAUUAAAUACGUCAUUUAAAGUCUUUGAGUAUUGACCAAAUCCAAGAGUAUAUAUACACCACUAUUUCUAGAUAUUUUAGGAUAAGGUAGUCCUACAAGUUAGCAUAUUUUAAAUUACUUUUUUGCAUAACUAUCCAAAAAUAUACUAUUAACACGACGAUUUAUUAUCGAAAUAUAUAAUACCCAUCACAUGCAUAUUAUUUUUUAAAGUUAUUUUAAUGUUUGAUUUUCUACUAAGUAUUAAUCUUUGUUUUUAGUUUGUUUUGUCGGAUGGUGUACGUAAGCCACUUGGUCAUAUUGAUGUGAUAUAUUUACAAAUAUUUUUUCGAAAAAAUAAGUAAAUUUUUAUCUAUUCUUAUGUUUUUUUAUAGGGAAAAAGUCUGAAAUAUAUUCGAACUUUAGCCAUUCUACUUAAUUUUACUAAUGGUGUUAUAGUAUUAACGUAUGUACUUGUGCCUUUCUACUUUUACUAAUGGUGUUUUGAUUAUUUUUAACUUUUAAUUUGAUUAUUUUGAAUAUUUAAGAUUUGUAAAAUACAAACAGAUACAAUUUAUAAAUAUUAUGUUUUUUUCAUCUUAACAAAAUAUUACUUACGACUCCACCAUAAAAUCAACACUCUAUUUAUCUACCACUUGUAGAGCAAGUUGUUCAUUUCUUUGGUCCAUACAUAAUUGCAAUCCGUAUAUGUAUCCCCUCACACCUCUAAUUAUUUAUGCAUUCAAAUCUUAUUAUAAAUAGAGCCCAAAAAUGCAUUAGUUUCUUCAUCCCUCAAUUUUCAUAUUUCAUAAGUACUAAGUUUUGAACAAAAGAAAAAUUAAAAAGAAUGGGUUCCAAGGCAAUUAUGUUUCUUGGUCUUUUUUUGGCUAUUUUCUUAAUGAUAAGCUCUGAGGUUGCAGCUAGGGAGUUGGCAGCUGAGACUUCCAAUGGUAAGCAUUUCUUUUCAUUUGUUCCCUCUCUUAGGGUGUGUUCGAUAAAAAAAAAAUGUUUUCAUGAAAAAUAUUUUGUAAGAAAAUAUAAGUGACUUCUUUAUUUACUUUGUUGUGUUUAAUAUUGUGAUAUAAUCUAGAUAAAUAUAUAAUUGGUGGGGUUGGAUGAUGACGGUGGGAUGAGGAUGGGGGAAGAUAAAUAUGUUUGAUCAUAAAAUUUGUCUACUUUUUGAAAAUUAUUGGAAACGAAAUCCCAAAAUUUCAAUUAAUAAUGCUAUAGUUUGAUCAUGACACUAAAUAUACAUUCCUUUUGUUUCAUUUUAUAUGUCUCAAUUACUAUGCAUAAAGUUUAAGAAUAUACCAUAAACUUUCCAAUCUUUGCUAAACUAAACUAAAGGCGUGUAAAUUAUAUUAUAAAUGUCCUAUGAAUUUUGUGAUCUUAUGUUACAUUGGAAUUAAAAAAAUUAAUUACAAUUAAAUAUAUAUAGUUAAUGGAGUACUCAUUUUGAAAUAUAAUAAAAAGGAAAGUACGACAUAUAAAUUGAAGCUCAAUUCAGAGACUAGUCAUAACUCAUCGUACGUGUUAGCUAGUUUAAUUAAUCUUCACAAUUCAUCGAUGCAGCGGUAAACGUUGAUGGACAUUAUUAUGGCGGUGGCUAUCACGAGGGCUAUGGAAAACCUAAGAAAUGUCAUAGUUGCUGCAAAAAAUACAAUAUGGAUGCAUAAAAUACUGCUGCUCUUAUGAAGAAUAUGUGGCUGCCCAGACUCACAACUAAAUAAUUAAUUGUGUGUAUUAUUAUUGUAAACUUUUGAAAUUAAGUGACAAGAUAAUAAUAAUCUUGUUACUUAAGACCCUUUGCUUGUAACAAGUAUGAAUAAAGCCAUUCAUUUACUAUGAAUGGUUGGUCAUGAUGUAAUGUUUUGUUGUACAAUAUAUCAUAUUGUGUUAAAAAAUGUUUCCCUAAUGUUAAGAUUUUCUUCUUAUUUUUACUUUAAGUAUUAUAUUCUAUCAUCCUUUAAUCAUAUAUUUCAGGAUUGAAUCCUGAUCCGAAUAUAGAAUUGUCUUUGUUACAUAGUGUUUUACUUGAUCUGAAUUUUUUAACGUGAAUCCAAUUUAUUUAAGGCAUCUCUAAGGAUAUUGAACAUCGAGGGGAAAAUUUAAAAUAUUUAAUUUUCUUGUUAUUUAAUAAAGUAAGGAAAACAAUGCAGAAAAAAGAAACAAUUUGUUCUUUUCUUUGUCUAAUAUUUUUUAAAAGUAUAAUCACAGAAGAAAUAAAAUUAAAGCAUGGGGGACAAAAGACUAAUAAUGUCAAAUCAUCACUUAUUUUUUGAUUUCUAAUGAACACUCUAGUCAGGGCUGAAAUCGAAAUUUUAUGAAAACAUCACAAUAUAAACAAAAAUAAACACAUGAGUAAAUUUUAAUGAUUCAAUAUAUGAUACAAUGUAGUAACUUUUUUCGACGAAGGAGAGUCAAUUAACACUCUUAGAUAAGGAUGGUUACAUCAUUAAUAUUCACGAUCACCAUUAGGGGCGGAUUUACCUUAAGCUCGCAAUGCCAUCUAGCUAUUAGUCAUGCAUGGAAAAUAAAUUUUCUUAUGCACAUGAUCAACUAAAUAAAUAUCGUAUUAUUUAGAAAAGAUUUAUAUAUAUAUAUGCAACAUCAACCAAAUAACUCACAAUCUCACAUGAUUAUUAAUCAGGGAAAAGAUUAAAUAAUUUUCGUCAUGUUGUGCAAAAAUAUAUAUUUCUAAUCUUAUUAAUAUUAGGUUAGGGGGGGAAACCGUUUUUUUGGGUUAUUUAUUAUUUCUAUCUAUAUUUUGUGUAUAUAUAUAAAAAAAAAUUAGCAUAAAAUAUAAACGUAUCCUUUAAUUUGGUCUCAACUGACAUCUAGCCCUCCAACUUUGGAUGUGCACAAGUAGAGACUUAAACUUGUAUAGAGUUGAACAAGUAGACACACUAAUCCUACAUGACAUAAUACGUGUAGGACCGCAUGUACGACACAAAUUAUCAUGUAGAACAUGUGUGUUUACUUAUUCUAUUAUAUAUAAAGUUAAGUGUUUACCAUUAGUACACAUUCAAAAUUAAAGGUUAUAAAUAUCGGUUAAGGUCAAAAUAAAAUAAUAUUUUCAUGUAUUAUACUUGUUUUUUUAGUAAGACUUUUCUUGAGUUAUAAAGCAAAUGAAGAGAGUUGGCCCCUCUUAUUUAACUUGAUACGUUGUACAUUAAAUACGUCAUUUAAAGUCUUUGAGUAUUGACCAAAUCCAAGAGUAUAUAUACACCACUAUUUCUAGAUAUUUUAGGAUAAGGUAGUCCUACAUGUUAGCAUAUUUUAAAUUACUUUUUUGCAUAACUGUCCAAAAAUAUACUAUUAACACGACGAUUUAUUAUCGAAAUAUAUAAUACCCAUCACAUGCAUAUUAUUUUUUAAAGUUAUUUUAAUGUUGUUUGAUUAUCUACUAAGUAUUAAUCUUUGUUUUUAGUUUGUUUUGUCGGACGGUGUACGUAAGCCACUUGGUCAUAUUGAUGUGAUAUAUUUACAAAUAUCUUUUCGAAAAAAUAAGUAAAUUUUUAUCUAUUCUUAUUUUUUUUAUAGGGAAAAAAGACUGAAAUAUAUACAAACUUUGGCCAUUCUACUUUUAAUAAUGGUGUUAUAGUAUUAACGUAUGUACUUGUGCCUCUCUACUUUUACUAAUGGUGUUUCGAUAUUUUUAACUUUUAAUUUGAUUAUUUUGAAUAUUUAAGAUUUGUAAAAUACAAACAAAUACAAUUUAUAAAUAUUAUGUUUUUUUCAUCUUAACAAAAUAUUACUUACGACUCCACCAUAAAAUCAACACUCUAUUUAUCUGCCACUUGUAGAGCAAGCUCAUUUCUUUGGUCCAUAAAAUAAUUGCAAUCCGUACAUGUGUCCCCUCACACCUCUAAUUAUUUAUGCAUUCAAAUCUUAUUAUAAAUGAGCCCAAACAUGCAUUAGUUUCUUCAUCCCUCAAUUUUCAUAUUUCAUAAGUACUAAGUUUUGAACAAAAGAAAAAUUAAAAAGAAUGGGUUCCAAGGCAAUUAUGUUUCUUGGUAUUUUUUUGGCUAUUUUCUUAAUGAUAAGCUCUGAGGUUGCAGCUAGGGAGUUGGCAGCUGAGACUUCCAAUGGUAAGCAUUUCUUCUCAUUUGUUCCCUCUCUUAGGGUGUGUUCGAUAAAAAAAAAUGUUUUUCAUGAAAUAUAUUUUGUAAGAAAAUAUGAAUGACUUCUUUAUUUACUUUUUUGUGUUCAAUAUUGUGAUAUAAUCUAGACAGAUAUAUAAUUGGUGGGGUUGGAUGGUGAGGGUGUGGGGAUGAGGAUGGGGGCGAAGAUAAAUAUGUUUGGUCAUAAAAUUUGUCUACUUUUUAAAAAUUAUUGGAAACCAAAUCCAAAAAUUUCAAUCACUAAUGCUAUAGUUUGAUCAUGACAUUUAAUAUACAUUCCUUUUGUUUCAUUUAAUAUAUGUCUCAAUUACAAGGCAUAAACCUUCCAAUCUUUGCUAAACUAAACUAAAGGUGUGUAAAUUAUAUUAUAAAUGUCCUACGAAUUUUGUGAUCUUUUGUUACAUUGAACUUAAAAAAUAUACAAUUAAAUAUAUAUAGGAAAAGGAGUACUCAUUUUGAAAUAUAAUAAAAAGGAAAGUACGACAUAUAAAUUGAAGCUCAAUUCAGAGACUAGUCAUGACUCAUCGUAUGUGUAAGCUAGUUUAAUUAAUCUUCACAAUUCAUCGAUGUAGCGGUCAACGUUGAUGGACAUUAUCAUGGUGGCGGCUAUGGUAAGGGCUAUGGAAAACCUAAAAAAUGUUAUAGUUGCUGCAAGAAAACCAAAUAUGGAUGCAAAAAAUACUGCUGCUCUUAUGAAGAAUAUGUGGCUGCCCAGACUCACAACUAAAUAAUUAAUUGUGUGUAUUAUUAUUGUAAACUUUUGAAAUUAAGUGACAAGAUAAUAAUAAUCUUGCUACUUAAGACCCUUUGCUUGUAACAAGUAUGAAUAAAGCCAUUCAUUUACUAUGAAUGGUUGGUCAUGAUGUAAUGUUUUGUUGUACAAUAUAUCAUAUUGUGUUAAAAAUGUUUCCCUAAUGUUAAGAUUUCCUUCUUAUUUUUACUUAAGUAUUCUAUCAUCCUUUAAUCAUAUGUUUCAGGAUUGAAUCCUGAUCCGAAUAUAAAAUCGUCUUUAUUACAUAGCUUUUACUCGAUCUGAAUUUUUUACCGUGAAUCCAAUUUAUUUAAGGCAUCUCUAAUUAAGGAUAUUGAACAUUGAGGGGAAAAAUUUAAAAUAUUUAAUUUUCUUGUUAUUUAAUAAAGUAAGGAAAACAAUGCAGAAAAAAGAAACAAUUUGUUCUUUUCUUUGUAUAAUAUUUUUUAAAAAUAUAAUCACAGAAGAAAUAAAAUUAUAGUAUGGGGGACAAAAGACUAAUAAUGUGAAAUCGUCACUUAUUUUUUUGAUUUCUAAUGAACACUCUAGUCAGGGCUGAAAUCGAAAUUUUAUGAAAACAUCACAACAUAAACAAAAAUAAACACAUGAGUAAAUUUUACUGAUUCAAUAUAUGAUACAAUGUUGUAGCUUUUUUCGACGAAGGAGAAUCAAUUAACACUCUUAGAUAAGGAUGGUUACAUCAUUAAUAUUCACGAUCACCAUUAGGGGCGGAUUUACCUUAAGCUCGCAAUGCCAUCUAGCUAUUAGUCAUGCAUGGAAAAUAAAUUUUCUUAUGCACACGAUCAACUAAAUAAAUAUCGUAUUAUUUAGAAAAGAUUUAUGUAUAUAUAUAUAUAUAUAUAUGCAACGUCAACCAAAUAACUCACAAUCUCACAUGAUUAUGAAUCAGGGAAAAGAUUAAAUAUUUUUCGUCAUGUUGUGCAAAAAUAUAUAUUUCUAAUCUUAUUAAUAUUAGGUUAGGGGGGUAAACCUUUUUUUGGGUUAUUUAUUAUUUCUAUCUAUAUUUUGUGUAUAUAUAUAUAUAAAAAAAUUGCAUAAUAUAUAAACGUAUCCUUUAAUUUGGUCUCAACUGACAUCUAGCCCUCCAACUUUGGAUGUGCACAAGUAGAGACUUAAACUUGUAUAGAGUUGAACAAGUAGACACACUAAUCCUACAUGACAUAAUACACAUAGGACACCAUGUACGACACAAAUUAUCAUGUAGAACAUGUGUGUCUACUAGGGGUGUACAUGGCCGGGUUGGUUCGGGUUUUUCAAAUAUCAAACCAACCCAUUUGUGUCGGAUUUUUAAAUUUAUAAACCAAACCAAACCAAUAAAACUCGGGUUUUUCAACCUCGGGUUUUUUCGGGUUUUUCGGUUUUUCGGGUUGUUUCGGGUUUUUCCGGUAAAGUAUUCAUACGAACAUAUAAUUUACUUGUACUUCAAAUAUUUCUUUAGUCCUACCAAAAUACAACUAUCUAAGAUGUUUCUUAAAAAUAUAACACAAUAUAAUAUGAUAAUGACACUAAAAUAUCCAACAAAAAUAAUAAUAAUGAAAUCGCGUAAAACAAAUAUUGCAAAUUAACAAGUCAUAAUGAAAAUGAUCAUAAUUUAAAAGUACUAAAUCAUGCUAAAAUAAGUUUAAUAAGUAUUAGUUACAUUACUAAAUANNNNNNNAAAAAUAAUAAUAAUGAAAUCGCGUAAAACAAAUAUUGCAAAUUAACAAGUCAUAAUGAAAAUGAUCAUAAUUUAAAAGUACUAAAUCAUGCUAAAAUUAAGUUUAAUAAGUAUUAGUUACAUGACUAAAUAUUAAAGAAAAUUAAAAUUAGAUUAUGUAUUUUAAUUGUCUAAACCAAUGUAAAACUAAAGAACAAAUAUUCAAUAUUAUUGUCAUUCUUAGUGUUGAAUUGAUUUUCUUUUUGCAUUAGUAUUAAUUUGAUUUUGAUUUAAGCUUUAUUAUAAUUACCAACAUAUGUGGACUAUAAUCUUUAUUGGCCCAUUCAUAAUUCUAAGUUUCAAACUUGAAAUAAUAUAUUAAAUAUUAAAAACUAUGGAAAAGUAUAAGAAAUAUUUUAAAAUUAUAUCAAAGUAAAUAUUUUUAUGUAUAAAAUAAAAUUUUAAAAUUAUAUAUAUAAAUUCGGGUUGGUUUGGUCUCGGGUUGGUUUUUUUUAGUUAAAACCAAACCAACCCAAAUAUAGUCGGGUUUUUUUUUUCAAAACCAAACCAAGUCAAACCAAACCACUAGUCGGGUUUUUUUUUCGGGUUGACUCGGUUUGCGGUUUGGUUCGGUUCUCGGUUCGGUUUUGUACACCCCUAGUGUCUACUUGUUCUAUUAUAUAUAAACUUAAGUGUUUACACAUUCAAAAUUAAAGGUUAUAAAUAUCGAUUAAGGUCAAAAUAAAAUAAUAUUUUCAUGUAUUAUACUUGUUUUUUAGAAGACUUUUCUUGAGUUAUAAAGCAAAUGAAGAGAGUUGGCCCCUCUUAUUUAACUUGAUACGUUGUACAUUAAAAGAGUCAUUAAAUACGUCAUUUUAAGUCUUUGAGUAUUGACCAAAUCCAAGAGUAUAUAUACACCACUAUUUCUAGAUAUUUUAGGAUAAGGUAGUCCUACAAGUUAGCAUAUUUUUAAUUACUUUUUUGCAUAACUAUCCAAAAAUAUACCAUUAACACGACGAUUUAUUAUCGAAAUAUAUAAUACCCAUCACAUGCAUAUUAUUUUUCAAAGUUAUUUUAAUGUUGUUUGAUUAUCUACUAAGUAUAAAUCUUUGUUUUUAGUUUGUUUUGUCGGUCGGUGUACGUAAGCCACUUGGUCAUAUUAAUGUGAUAUUUACAAAUAUUUUUUCGAAAAAAUAAGUAAAUUUUUAUCUAUUCUUAUGUUUUUUUAUAGGAAAAAAAGUUUGAAAUAUAUCCGAACUUUGAUCAUUCUACUUUUACUAAUGGUGUUAUAGUAUUAACGUAUGUACUUGUGCCUCUCUACUUUUACUAAUGGUGUUUUGAUACUUUUAACUUUUAAUUUGACUAUUUUGAAUAUUUAAGAUUGUAAAAUACAAACAGAUACAAUUUAUAAAUAUUAUGUUUUUUUCAUCUUAACAAAAUAUUACUUACGACACCACCAUAAAAUCAACACUCUAUUUAUCUACCACUUGUAGAGCAAGUUCAUUUCUUUGGUCCAUAAAAUAAUUGCAAUCCGUAUUGUGUCCCCUCACACCUCUAAUUAUUUAUGCAUUCAAAUUUUAUUAUAAAUAGAGCCCAAAAAUGCAUUAGUUUCUUCAUCCCUCAAUUUUCAUAUUUCAUAAGUACUAAGUUUUUGAACAAAAGAAAAUUAAAAAGAAUGGGUUCCAAGGCAAUUAUGUUUCUUGGUCUUUUUUUGGCUAUUUUCUUAAUGAUAAGCUCUGAGGUUGCAGCUAGGGAGUUGGCAGCUGAGACUUCCAAUGGAUGUGCACAAGUAAGGACUUAAACUUGUAUAAAGUUGAGCAAGGAGACACACUAGUCCUCUGUGACAUAAUACACAUAGGACACCAUGUACGACACAAAUUAUCAUGUAGGACAUGUGUGUCUACUUGUUCAAUUAUAUAUAAACUUACGUGUCUACCAUUAGGUCCAUUACACAUCUAAAAUUAAAGGUUAUAAAUAUCAAUUAAGGUCAAAAUAAAACAACAUUUUCAUGUAUUAUACUUUGUUUAGAAGACUUUUCUUGAGUUAUAAAGCAAAUGAAGAGAGUUGGCCCCUCGUAUUUAACUUGAUACGUUGUACAUUAAAAGAGUCAUUAAAUACGUCAUUUAAGUCUUUGAGUAUUGACCAAAUCCAAGAGUAUAUAUACACCACUAUUUCUAGAUAUUUUAGGAUAAGGUAGUCCUACAAGUUAGCAUAUUUUAAAUUACUUUUUUGCAUAACUAUCCAAAAAUAUACUAUUAACACGACGAUUUAUUAUCGAAAUAUAUAAUAUAUAUCCAUCACAUGCAUAUUAUUUUUUAAAGUUAUUUUAAUGUUGUUUGAUUAUCUACUAUUAAUCUUUGUUUUUAGUUUGUUUUGUCGGUCGAUGUACGUAAGCCACUUGGUCAUAUUUAUGUGAUAUAUUUACAAAUAGGUUUUUUGAAAAAAUAAGUGAAUUUUACGCCACAAAAAAAGUGUGAAUUACAUAGAAAUUUUCCUGGAAAUUAGUAUGAGAAUCUGCAGGAAACUUAUUUUCUUGUAAAUUUUCAUAUUAAUCCCCAGAAAAAUCCUCGUGGAAUUCACACUUUUCUUAUAGUGUUUUAUUUAUUUUUAUGUUUUUUAUAUGUAGGCAAAAAGUAUAAUCUCAAAAUCAUUUAUAUAUAAUUAGAAUAACUAUUAUAACAAGAGAGGUAGGGGUUAGGGAAGGUAGGGAUCAAGAUGAAAUAUACUGUGUAGGAGGAUGGAAAGGACAUUAUCAAUAAUUUGGAAUAUCACCUGCAGAACUUAUUUUAUCUAUACUUUCGAUUUUUUAUUGGAGAAAUCAUUUUCCUCAUUAAUAAAAAAAAAAAAUUAUUUUUUUAGAGAAACAAAUAUAUUUGGAUGCUUAGUGUGAAAGCAAGACUGAAUAAUAUUGAUAAGUCAACUGACAAGUGACAUUUUGACAUGUUAUGAUGCAUUAUUGUUAGUUAUUGUCACUUAUGCUUUAAUUUGUGGACUAGAAACCGCAUGCACCUACGUACUAUAAAAGAUUGCCACGAACUUUAUUUAUAAAGAAAAAUUACAUAAUAUAUAAGAGAUUAUCAUGAUUAUGACAUUUAAUCGAUUUGAAAUUAUGAAUAAAGAUUAAUGGAGGGUUGUGAAGAUAUAGAAGCUACUAUUUACGUCUGUAUUAGCUAUAAUAUUUUAUGAUACUUGUUUUAAAUAUCCAUAAAUAAUAUACCAAGUUAAAAUUUUACUUUAAAAAAUUAUGAUAUAAUUUUUAAAUUUAAAAUUUUCAAGUGAUUCAUUUGGUAGUUUGAGCAGUAAUGGAGGGUGGUUGGGUGUGGGGUGUGGGCGGGAGGAGGUCUAAGAAGACCUAGUCAACUUAAUUGAUUAGUGAGUGAUUGACAUUUUGCCACUUGGAAUUAUUAAUAAGUCAACUAAUAAGUCAUUCACCUUUAAUUUAUCGAACAAUAAAUAGCAACAAUAACAUGGCAUUUAAUUAGUCGCUGUUAUAUACUCUUCCAAACUCUAUCUAUUAUCUAUUCACUUUGUCCUAUUUUUCUUUUAUUCAACUUUACAUUAAUAGUGUAUUUAGUAGGUAAAAAAGCAUUUUAUAUAAUUUUUUAGAUUGAAAAAUAUUAUUUCAAUAAUAUUUAUAUAUAUAGUUCGAUAAUACAAGGAUGGAGGUAAAAUGGACUCAUCGUGUGCGUAUGGAGGGUGGGGGGUGGAAGUGGGCUUUUUGGGAGCCGGGGUCGAUGUGAGUGGGCAAGGGGAUGCAACGGUGGAGAGAGGACAAUCAAGAUUUUAUGUCAUUUAUAAAAUUUAUUUUUCAUAUUUUUACGAGAAAAGUCAUGAUUUAAGUUUCACAUAUAAGUCACAUUAAAUUAACUUGAUAAUUUUAAAAAUCAUUACGUUAUCAGUACAUAUAACUUAAAUGUUUUCUAUCAAGAUUUUCAGGAUAAGGUUUGUCCUACAAGUUGAGCAAAUAUUUUAUUUAAUUAUUGCAUAAUAAUCUGACAAUACAUCAACAUUUAAUGUACAAUUUCCCCACAAGAGCCGUCGUCUACUAAUUUGUUGCCAAAAGGAUUUUGGAGAUCUUAUAAUGAUGUGUACAAAAUAUUUAGAGGAAUUUUUGAGAUUAGUGGUUAACAAAAAUUAAUCUUAGAAUAAAAGUUAGCUAAUUUGCAAUUUGGCAAGCCUGGCUAGAGGGUCGAAGUGCGCAAAUAUCCGAUUUUGAGAUUAUCAUUUCCAGGCGUACUACAUAAAAAAUUUGCAAAGUCUAUCCAUUUUUUAGAAUAAUUUCAAACAUGUAGGGUUUGAAGUUAGGCUUGAUGAAACUAAAAUUCAAACAAAAUGUUUUAAGUUUUAUACGGUUGAGGCUCAAACACAUAUGAUGUGAUUAUAUAAAUUACUUUUAAACUAACGAUAUAUAUAAUGAGCCCAAUAAUUGUGAAUUCUUUACCUUCUUCACCUGCCAAAAGCACAUCCCAUAAAUGCACCUCUCACACCUCCAAAUAAUGUUCUUUCCCUACCAUUUGUAAUACAUUCAAAUCUUACUAUAUAUAGAGACCAACUAUACAUAAGCUUCACCAUCCUAUAAUUUCAAGUAUCAUAGUAAGUUUAGUGGGUAAAAUGGGUUCUAAGACAUUUAUGUUCCUUGGCCUUUUUUUGGCCAUUUAUGUAAUGAUAAGCUCUGAGGUUGUAGCUAAAGAGUUGAGUGAGACUUCAGAAGAGAAGUGUAAGAAUCCUCUCAUUAUUUGUUCCUUUUGUGGUUGUGUUUGGUACCAAGGAAAAUGUUUUCGGUGAAAAAUAAUUUAUUAGAAAAUAUUUUCUUUGAAACAUAAACGUACUUAUUAUAAUAUUAUUUAAGGUACAUAUAUAUUUUACCCGUAAGAACGUAUGUUUUUAUAAUCAUAAAAAUGUCAUCACAUAUUCGAGAUCACAAAUUUUUAAAAUAGGUUAAUGGCAUAACAUUCUUGUUUACACAAUUGAUACAGCAAAGAAAUCCAAUAACAAGAAUGUAGUACAUGAAGACCAAUUUGGUGGCGGAUACCCCGGCGGUGGCGGUGGAUACCCUGGCGGUGGCGGUGGAUACCCCGGUGGUGGUGGUGGAUACCCUGGUGGUGGUGGUGGCGGCUACCCUGGUGGUGGCCGCGGUGGUGGUGGCUACCCUGGCGGCGGUCGUGGUAGAGGCGGAUAUCCCGGUGGCGGCCGCGGGGGAUACCCUGGUGGUGGUCGCGGACGUGGUGGAUACCCCGGCGNNNNNNNNNNNNNNNNNNNNNNNNNAUGAAGACCAAUUUGGUGGUGGAUACCCCGGCGGUGGACGUGGUGGCGGUGGAUACCCUGGCGGCGGACGUGGCGGUGGUGGUGGUGUAGGAUACUGUCGCAAUGGUUGUUGCAACGGCAAUAACUAUGAGUGCUAUAGUUGCUGUUAAUUAUGGGGAGCAAUAAAUAUUUGUAAUGGCAAAGAUGUAAUACUAGUGAUUAAAACUUUUGCUAAAUUAAUUUAAUUUCUACAACUUUUUGUAAGAAUUAUGAAAUUAAAAGUCAUCAUGUAUGUAACGUUUGUUAAUUAUGCUAUGCUGUGAGACAAUAUUUUCCCUAAUUUGGUGUUUCUUUCUCAAUUAUUUAAUCAGAUAUUAUGUCGUUCAAUUUGAAGAGUGAUAAGUUGAAAUUAUGGUAUUAAUCGAAAAUUUAUGAAAAAAGAGAAGUCAAUUGAGAUAUUAAUAUGAUAUAUAAUUGCGACAUUAUUUUGAAAAUUGAAGUCGUAAGCUUUUACUCUAUAUAUCAUACCAAUUUACUAUGACGAAUGCUAUCGAAAUCAAACUUAAAACUAUGAUUACACCAAAUUAGUUAAUUUGAUAUGAUAGUAUAGUAUUUUUGAAAAUCGAGAAUCGAAAUUUUCAAUAUCAUGAACACCUAGACUAAAGGAAUUUGGUAAAUCCAAUUUUGACUAUAAUCUAUAUAUCCUUAUAAAUAAACCAAAGAACGACAAAAUUAAUGCCACCAUAUAUUAUAGUAAGUAAUCCCACAUAACAUUAAUUCUCAGUAAGGCGUGAAAAUCUUCAUAUUAUUACCAAUGGUAUAAUAUAAUAAUAAACUGAAUUAUCAAGAUUGAUCAGAAUUCUUUAGACUCUGAUCUUCAGACGUAAUACACAGAGACGAACAAAAUUCUCCAGAUUCUGAUCUUCAGACAUAAUACACAGAUGACUUCUCCAGAUUCUGAUCUUCAGAUGUAAUACACAUAUGACUUCUUUAAAGUUUUAUCACCCGCUUUGAUACCAUGAAGAUAUUCACUAUGAAUUAUAAGAACAAUAGAAUUGGAAAAGAAGAAAGUAUUUGUUAUUUUUCCUUUUUAAGCAGUAGUUAUACAAUGACUAAAUCCUAUGUAUUUAUAUUUUCCUUACUAACUAACUUACCUAACUUUUUGGUAACUACCUUCUAACUAACUUCUUGAAGUAGUCCUAACUAACUCUAAACACUCUCCUUCUUUUUUAACUAUCUCAUUACAAACACUCUGAGGUUGGAAGAGGGGUGGAUGAAGGUGAGGGGGAUGGAGGGAGGGGGGGGGUUGAGAGCCGGUCGGAGACUGGGUUUCGAGAGGAGGUGUGGUGCAUGGUAGGAUAGGGACGUAGAGACGAGGGUGAACUAAAGAGAGACAAUCAACUUAGAAUAACACUAAUAUAAAAUUUAUUUUUUCUAAUUUUCCAUCAUGUAUACCAUUUUUAGAGAAUAUAAGUCACUUACUUUUUUUUGAUAAAAUAUUUUUAGAAAAUUUUGACAAUGAACACAAAAGAGUCACAUGACUAUGUCUAUUGCAAUGCAAUAUAUUAUAUUCAUUUUUGUAUGAUAUAAUAUACCAUUUCCACACAAGAGCCGUCGACUACUUUGCUAACAAAAGAUUUUGGUGAUCUUAUAAUGUGUCCAAAAUGGAUAAUGAACCCACAUAAAUACGUACAGUUGAGUAAUAAUGUUUUGUAUUUUUGAAGGUCUGAACUCCUCUAGUAGACCUUCUAUUCACCACUGUCUGAGGAUCAUUAGACAUACAAUCCUGUCCUUGAACUGUUUCCUCCACUGUAUCUUGUUCAAUAUUAUCAGUCAAGUUUCUGUCUAAUUAUGUAUCACAUUGAGUUUCUUGUACAUACCUAUGAUUAAAUUUGUUCUUGUCACUCAUGUUAUCAUAGCCUAACUUUCAUUCUACAUUCAGCAUAUCAUUAUCCAAAUGAUUUACAAACGGACCUUUUUCACUUUUAUCUAAAACAGUUAAGAAAGGAAAGACCGACUCUCUGAAUAUCACAUCUCUACUCACAAAGAAGCUUUUGGAAGUCAAAUCUAACAAAAUAUAACCCUUUUGAGUUUCUGAGUACCCCAUAUGUACUGCAGCCUUUGUCCUGGAUGCUAGUUUAUCACUUUCAGUUAACAAUUUAGCAUAGCAUAAACAACCUAAUAUUCUAAUAUGAGAUAUCAUUGGCUUAACACCAUACAUCAUUUCAUAUGGAGAUUUACCUCCCAGAACUCUGCUAGGUAUUCUGUUUAUCAAGUAAGCAGUUGCAAGUAUACACUGACCCCAAAACCUUAUAGGAAUAUGGCCCUGAAACCUUAGCGCUCUAGUCACCUCUAAUAGAUGUCUAUGCUUCCUUUCAGCCACUCCAUUUUGCUGUGGAGUAUAAGGACACGAUCUUUGAUGUACUAUACCUCUUUCUUUAAACAAGGUAGCACAUAUAGCAUUCAUAAAUUCAGUUCCAUUAUCAGACCUUACCUUCAUUACCACUUUGUCAAAUUGUGUCUUGACAAACUUCAGAAAAUAAUCUAAAGCUACACACACAUCUGCUUUACUUUUUAAUAGAAAUAACCAACUCAUCCUUGAGAAAUCAUCAACUACUGUGAGAAAAAAUCUAUUACCAUCAAAAGUUGCCUGUUUGUAUGGACCCCAUACAUCCAAAUGAAUCAAAUCAAAAAUUUGACUACUUUUAAUACUACUAACAUGAAACAUAUUUCUAGUUUGUUUUGCACAAGGACAUACAGUACACUCAUUUAGCACUUUAUUCACUACUUCUGAAUUAACAGGAAAAACUUUACUCAACAUUUGUGCAGAUCCAUGUCCUAGCCUUUUGUGACAUACAUUCAAUUCCUUUUCUGAUAACUGUUGUAUCUCUAGCUUCUUUUCAGGUACAACAAAUGACUGGUGCUUUAAUUGAUCUUUUGAUAAAUUCCUUAGCAGUAGGUACAAACCAUCCUCCUCUUUUACCAACUUCCCUCACCUUGCCAGUGUAAAGCUCCUGAAACACACAAAAAUGAGGGAAGAAAGUGACUGAGCAAUUUAACUCCUUAGUCACCUUACUCACUGAUAGCAAGUUGUACUUGAACUCUGGUAUGUGAUAAACAUUUGUAAUCACACUUCUUGGAGAUAUGUUACAUAAUCAUGUAUGAGACACAUAUGACACUUCCCCAGUAGGUAAAUAUAUAGGUUUUGGCUCUUUAACCCUGAUAACAGACUCACUAGUAAGCAUAUCCAAGUUUAAUACCAUAUGAUUAGAUUCCCCAGUAUCUACAAUCCAGACCUGACUAUUUUCAGAAAUUAACAAGACUUUACCUGCAAUAUUAGCCUGAGUUUCAUGCGCAUGGCUUGAAUCUUCUGAUUUCUGUCCACCUUCUUGAUUCUGCUUCAACAUUUGAAGAAUUUGACUAUACUGAUCUUUGGUGAAAUUACAUCCUUGUAACUGGUUUGAACAUUCCUCUAUAUUACUCAUAUGAUUUUUCACAGGUACAUUAGUGUUACCUCCAUAGUUGAAAGAAACUCUACCAGACACAUCCUCAUAAUCAUCCUUUUUUGUGUUGUUAACAUCAUUUCCAACCAUGUAAGCUCCAGUUCCUGUACUGAUAUUCACUUUCCUUUUUGACUUGAAAUCAGAUGGAGUUUUAGAUAAUCCGAGACUCAAGUCUUAGUUUAUCUUGAAUGUUGAGCAGAAACACUAGUAAUUUAUUAUUUUUCCAGAAAAAUUACCAAUAAUUAGAUGUAGUUCUUUCAACUUAACUCAAUUUGAAGUUGUUUUAAAUUCCAAGCACUUUUAAUGAACGUCAAAGUUUAUGAACUUCAUACAGUUUGCAACAUUUGUUAUACUAAUCCCUCUUCAAUUGGUGUUAAGGGUGCUUCAUAGAUUGUAGAGAGGCUAAAGAUUAUGCUAUAUAGUGGACCCAUAUAUUAUCCUUGAUGUAAUCUUUUACUGAACUUCAAAUCUAUACUUUUGCUUUUCCCACACUCUGUUAGUCUUAUUUGUGUGGCCGCAAUGGUAAAUCGCUAUUUGAAGUUAUAUGCUUGUGAAUUUUGAUACCGAAGUAGUUUCUACCAGUCUAGCUAAUCUGGUUUUCUUCGUUUGCUCUUAUUUUGUGGUGAACAGAGUAUAGAAGCUUUGUUAUGCUUUUUGAAUAGUCAAAAAAUUUGAUUGCACUCAUCCUUUACAAUCUUUAGAACAAUGAAUCAGUAUCUGCUAUUACGCUCACCUUUGUACCCUUUCUGGACAACUUAUGCAUAUUGACACUUUACCAGUACUAACCAAAUCAAGAGGGUUUUAAAUAUGAUAGGUACUUUCCGUCUUUGAAUAGUGUUACACUCUCAUAUGAUAGAGUUAUUGGAAGACAUCUCAUAGGCUAUGAAUGAUAGCUUUGAUCUACACUCUUGAGUCUUGGUUGUGCUAAAGCAACAACAAAAAUAUGCUUUAAAAAUACGUGGUCGAAAAAGUUACUUUUUUACUAUGAAGUUGUCAUAUAAAUCUACUGAUCUAUAAAAGUGUGAACACAGAGAGGAUUCAAAGAUAUUACAGUAAUCAGCCUUAGUGUAUAGGCUUCUAAAGUGCCAUUAUAUUUUCAAGGGAAAAAUGACAAAUAUACCCCGAACUAUCGUAAAUGGUAUGCAGAUAUCCUCCGUCAUACUUUUGGGACAUUGGUGUCCCUGCCGUCCAAAAACAAUAGCAUAUAUGCCCUUCACUCUAACGAAAGACUAAAUAGGGACACGUAUCCGUCGAUCUGAUAUUUAAUGAAUGUCGGUCGGUGGAUAAGAUUAUGACACGUGUGUAUGUCCGUUAGUAUAAAGGGUAUAUAUGCUCUAGUUUUUGGACGGCAGGGGCACCAAUGUCCCAAAAGUAUAACGGAGGGUAUCUGAAUACCAUUUACGAUAGUUCGGGGUAUAUUUAUCCUUUUUCCCUAUUUUCAAUCAUAAUUAGCCUACGGGGUUGUCAUUGAAAAACUCACACUUCAUAUUAUCUUUGAAGUAGACUAUCUUAAGAAAACAAUCUGCUCAACAUGUUUGAAGCACCAUAAGCAUUUAUGGUAUUAUCUAUUCCAAGCAGGUAAUAAUAACAUCUUGUUUUACUACUGCAACACCUUUAUGGUAAAUUACAAAUUAACAAUUAUAACUACUGAAUCUUUUUUGCGUUUUGCUAGGUGUGUGGUUGUAUAAUAAACUUAUUUUUUUAUAGAGUAAAAAGGAAAUAUAAUUUUUUUUAUUUGAAUGUGAAACAUACAACUCUAAUAUUGACCAUUUAAUGUGCGAGUUAUAGCACCUCUACUUUCAUCAAUUAUUUAUGGCUCAGUUACAUCGGCUAAAGCUUGGCAAAGAGUUGUAACGAUUGCUGGUUCCAUUACUACUGUUCCACACCUCUAUUUCUACAAUAUGUCCAGCAUUUGAACUUGCAAUUCCUUUUGACAUGUUGCUGGAAAGAUUGUGAGUUCUUUUUUUUUUUGAAAGAUGCAUGGAUGAACAUAUUUGGGAGUUAAAAGGGACCCUUUGUGAGUUGUAAUUUUUUUUUUAUUAAGAUGGUAACAUAUUUUUGUUGAUUGACUGCUUAGUUGAGGUCUCUUAUUAAUUGGCAAUCCAAUCCUUUUCUCCACUAAUUCAUGAAUCUUUUAUAUUCGAUUACUAGUGGAUAAUAAGAUCAUUUUAUUGUUGUAGCCAAUGAAAGCACGAAGAUACUGAUUCAGGAGUUUUGUGAAUUGGUUGAACCUUUUAGUGCUUAUCCCAGGUUCUAACAUGAAAAUCUUGUGCCUCAUCUUUCAUGAAUUUACUUGGUAGCGUCGCACCACUCAAUCUAAAAUUCUAAAUUGUUGUGGUUCAAUAUAUAGUGCUAGUUCCUGCCGUUAAGUUGUUUGUCUUUCACCCUAUAUAUGUCAUGUGGAGUUACCUAUAUUUCCUAUGUAAUGAAACAAUGUUUUGCGGAUCUAUAAUAAACAUAACUUCCUAUUUUUUUAGCAAAUCCUCAUCUAGAUACAUAGACAUUUCUGAUGGUAGACGAAGCUACAUCAACUUGAACUAAAUCUCUAAUAACACAACUGCAGUAAACUUAAUUCUAUACUUUUGCUUUUCCCACUUUGGUUAGUCUUAUAUUUGUGUGGAUGCUAGGGUAAAUUGCUAUUGCUAUGAUUAUACUUGUUAAAGAAUGACAAAAGUCCCAUAUCGGUGAUUAAUGAGAUGGGUGGACUCCUUAUAAGGCUUGGGCAAUCCUCCUCCCUUUGAGCUAGCUUUUGGGGUGUGAGUUAGGCCUAAGACCUAAUUUAACAAUACUUGAAGUUGUAUGUAUGCUUGAGAAUUAUGAUACUUAAGUAGUUUUUACUAGAAAUCAAGAGAAAUUAACUUCUUUUUUAUUUAGAUACUUCUUGAUUGUUAUUUUUUCAGACAAGUCACACUUCUUGCAAUGUUUUGAUACUUUACAUCUCAUCUUUUGAUGCAUUUGUUUUUUUAUUCCAGGUCAUAUAAUCUAAAGUCCUCAAAUUUCAAAUUUGGGAGAUUUCAAUAUGAAGAAGAGGUGCAAAACUUAUGUGAAAACAUUAUUCAAUAGGAUAGAUAUAUACAAACAAUAUAAGUUUAAUUUUAUACGUUGUGACAUUCAUAUUUUGGAUUAGUACUUCCUUUUAUUUGUCUAGAUUUUAUGAUAUAUAUUCUAUUUUAUGAAUUAAUAAUAGUAUAUGUUUUUUGCAUUUGUCAAACUUUGUUGUUACUAUCUGGUGCUCUUUUGCCAACAAGUUUGUUGAAUUUGUAUAUAUACAUUUUCUCGACCAAUGUAGUAAUUAUUAUUAAUGUUGGCUAUAAAAUUGUCGUUAAAGGUUAUAAUAUUUAGCGUCAAUCUAAUAAAUUUAUUGAUCAUAAAAAUGGACACUGAAAAGGCAAACUAAUUUUUUUUAGAAGGGAUAUUGUAGCCAUUACUUGCCAUAGUAAAUUGUCGUUAAAAUUACUACCUUGUGGCUAUUUAAUUGGAUUUAUCUACUAAAACAAUAGAUGCUAAAAACAAUAGUUAGUCGAUAUUAACUACCUAUAGCAGUUAACAUAAUUGCCACAAACAAUUGCCGUUAAAACAAAUACUUUUAGUGGCUAUGUAUUUUGAUUUAUCGACUAAAACAAUGGACACUAAAAUUAGAUCAUAGUUAGUUGAUAUGAAUUACCUUUAGCAACCAACAUAUGUGCCACAAACAAUUACCAAUAAAAACACUACCUUUUAGUGGCUAUUUAUUUAGAUUUAUCGGCUAAAACAAUGGACGCUAAAAACUCAUAGUUAGUCAUUAUGAAUUACCUUUAGCAGCCAACAUAAUUGCUACAAACAAUUGCCAUAAAAGCUAAUGAUUUGUAGCGGCAAUUCAUGCUACCCUUUACCAGCAUUUCCCACAAUGGUCGGGAAAGCCUUUGCUGACCCCUACAUUACCGGCUAAAGACAAUUCACCGGUAUAGGUUAUCGUGGCAAAUGUUAUUGCCGCUAAAGUCAUGUUUUAUUGCCACUAAAUGACCCUUUUGUAGUAGUGUUUGUAAAGUAUACAGACACAGAAUCUGUACCCUGUUGCAAGGUUGCAAUUUCUUUGUGUAGACUGAAGGUUCUUGAUCCAUCUAAUUGAUCAAACCUUUCUUUUAAGUCAUUCCACACAGCUUGAGCUGAUGAUGCAAAAGCUACUCCUCCUAGCAAACUCUUUGACAUAGAAUUUAGAAGCCAUGAGAGAACAAUGACAUUCACCCUUUCCCACUGAACUCUUAAUUCUGCACUUACAUCUUCUUGUUUACACGAUCCAUCUACCAAACCAUUCUUGUUUCUUCCAAGUAAUGCCAAUCUAAUCGACCUACUCCAUAAAGCAUAGUUCUCAAUUCCAAUAAGCUGGAAUGAAAUCAGAUUAACCCCACUGAUAUCAGCAGGACUCAAGAACAGAGGAUGACUAUAAUCAACCCCUUGACUCAUCGACAUAGCUGGAAUAGAGCUUGGAUUUCCAGAAAUUCCACCAACACUACUGGUUCCAGUUGUCUGUUCACCAGUUACCCCUUGAGUCAUGCUUGUAAUCUUUCUUCUUUUUCAAAUUGAUUUCCGGAAGCUAAACUGAAUUAUCAAGACGAUCAGAAUUCUUUAGACUAUGAUCUUCAGACGUAAUACACAGAGACGAACAAAAUUUUCCAGAUUCUGAUCUUCAGACGUAAUACACAGAUGACUUCUCCAGAUUCUGAUCUUCAGAUGUAAUACACAGAUGACUUCUUUAAAGUUUUAUCACCCUCUUUGAUACCAUGAAGAUAUUCACUAUGAAUUAUAAGAACAAUAGAAUUGGAAAAGAAGAAAGUAUUUGUUAUUUUUCCUUUUAAAGCAGUAGAUAUACAAUGACUAAAUCCUAUGUAUUUAUAUUUUCCUUGCUAACUAACUUACCUAACUUUUUGAUAACUACCUUCUAACUAACUUCUUGAAGUAGUCCUAACUACCUCUAAACACUCUCCUUCUUUUUUAACUAUCUCAUUACAAACACUCUGAGGUUGGAAGAGGGGUGGAUGAAGGCGAGGGGGAUGGGGGAUGGAGGGGGGGGUGUUGAGAGCCGGUCGGAGCUUGGGUUUCGAGAGGAGGUGUGGUGCAGGUAGGAUAGGGACGUAGAGACGAGGGUGAACUAAAGAGAGACAAUCAACUUAGAAUAACACUAAUAUAAAAUUUAUUUUUUCUACUUUUCCAUCAUGUAUACCAUUUUUAGAGAAUAUAAGUCACUUACUUUUUUUUAUAAAAUAUUUUUAGAAAAUUUUGACAAUGAACACAGAAGAGUCACAUGACUAUGUCUAUUGCAAUGCAAUAUAUUAUAUUCAUUUUUGUAUGAUAUAAUAUACCAUUUCCCCACAAGGGCCGUCGACUACUUUGCUAACAAAAAGAUUUUGGUGAUCUUAUAAUGUGUCCAAAAUGGAUAAUGCACCCACAUAAAUACGUACAGUUGAGUAAUAAUGUUUUGUAUUUUUGAAGGUUUGAUUCAGGGCCGGCUCUAUGCUUUGGCAAAUAAGGCUUUUGCCUUUGGGGGUCGCAAAUUUUAUCAAGAAUAAAUUAUGUGUUAAAAUUUCUAUAGAACUAAUUGAUUAUUUAUGAUAAAAAGUUUAAUUUUUUUUAAAUAUAUUAUUUUACCCACUUUAACAUUUUUUAUACUUUGUUAAAAAUAAGAAUUAAUAGUGAAAAGUGUUGAACAAAGUGAAUUGCAAUUUUUUUUUAAUUUCUUUUUUAAUUUUAGUUUCAGGCAUUACUACAACAAUAUUAAAAUGGGUAUACCAAGUGAUCAUCAACUUCUUGCAUCAAAUUCUAUGGUUCUAACUCUUAUCUUUAUUUAAUAUUUGUCAACUUAUUACUUAUAUAAGUAUGUUAACAAUUCAUAUAAUAAUUGCCUCACUGAAAGGAUGUUUUUCAAUGUUGAGUUGAUAAAAUCUUACCUAAAACUAAUUACUGAAAAAACAAUAUCAAAAUACUAAUAAUUUUCAUCUAAAUAAUGUAAGAAAAAUAAAUUUUGAAUAAAUACGUACAUGAAGUUUGUUUAUAUUUUAGGCCCAGAAUCGAAAUUUCGCUUUAGGCCCCCAAUCACGUUGAGCUGCCCUUGGUUUGAUUGGAUUUAAUCAUUGAAAAUUAUUGAGAUUGAUAUUAGUAGGUUCAAUGUCAAAUUUAAUUCCCUGUUCAUCUAUCAGAAACUUUUGGAUAAUAUAUUCUAAAAUUAAAAUACAAUUUUUAUACUAAAAUCACGAUAAUCUGUCCGAUAGAUGUCUUUAUCUGUCGAUCCAAAUUUAAAGAUAUCAAAUUAGACUUUUAUGGAGAUAAAUAUGUAUCAGUUUAAUUUGUUACAUGUAAGUUUAACUUAAAUAUAAUGCAACAAAUUAUAUAUAGUACUUGUAAUGUGUAUGAAUGAAAUCUUCACUAAAUUUCUUCAGCUGCCGACUGAAUAUUGGUCCACACAUUAAUUCCAUAAAUACAUGUUCCCGCUCUAGGGGGGGAUCUAGAGUAUCGGACGUAAAUUUUUAGAAACGUAAUAAUUUUUACAUAAAUCUUAUAUUUAUAUUAAAAAAUCUAUUAAAUAUAUAAAAAAUAUUUCUUCAAAAUCUAAUAAAAAAAUAAAUUCUUAGUUUGAUGGUAGAAAUGAAACCUACUUAACCUUCUUUAUCAUGAUUCGACCCAUACCUCAGACCUAAGAUCGAGCACCAGAGCUGCUCAUAACAACGUACCAAAAAGAAGAAUGCGAGAAGUUCAUAUUCUCCAGAUUCUACUAUAAAUCAGGUAGUGAGGAUGAAAAAAGCAUAAGCUACCUCGUUCGUGCUCCCGUCUUUCCCGCUGCCAUCUUUGGUGGAUGCGCCCCUUCACUUAAAGGCGGCCAAACCAACCCACUGAGCCAACCUUUUAGAUUGAAUAAAGUUACUAAGAUCUUUAAAAAUCCAUAAACUUUAAAUUCUGAAUUUGCUUCUGUCCGCUACAUCCAAAUAAUACUCUCUCUUCAAUCAUUAUAUCCAUUCAAAUCUUUCUAUAAAUAGAACCCAACAAUCUCUCAAUUUCUUCAUCCUUUAAUUAAUUCAAAUAUCAUAAGGGAAACAAAAAAUGGGUUCCAAGGCAUUUCUGAUUCUUGGCCUUUUUCUGGCCAUAUUUGUAAUGAUAAGUUCUGAGGUUUUUGCUAGGGAGUUGGCUGAGACUUCCACCACUACUUCUGAAGAGGAUUGUAAGUAUAUCCAUUCAGUAUAAUAUGCUCAUUUUAUAAGGAAAUUUCACAUAUAUUUUUAUAAUUUAUCUCGAAAAUAUUGAGUUCAGAUGAACAUUCCUUACUUGUGCUUUAGAUGCUAGCUUGACCAAUCAUUCUUACUAAUUGUUCAAUUUUAUAUAAUUAGUUUUACAUUUUGCAUGUAUAUUACGAUAAUAAUAAUAGCAUAUUCAGUAUAAUUUCACAAAGGAUAUGGAGGAGGUGGUAUGUACACAACUAUACUCUUAUCAUGUGAAGAUAGAGAAGUUAAUUAAUUCGAUCAAUUCUCAACUCAAUUAAAACAUAAAGUAGCCCAUGCUGAACCUAAUGAAAUUUUGCAUACAUUUUAUAUAGUAUACUUUAACCUUCUGAACUUUGACGAGAAAUCUCCAUAUAAGUUAUGGAUUACAGAAUUUUAUAAUGCAGAGUUGGUAUUAAACAAAAAUAUUUCCUCCGUUUUAAUUUAUUUAUUUGGUUUUGACGUAUGCAGAUUUUAAAAAAAACUAAAGAGAAUUUUUGAAUCUUAUGAUUUAGAAUUUUUGAAUCUUCCGGUAUUAAACAUACCAAUAAGUAGUUGCCGAAGAAGGAAAGUGUCAUUUUUUUUUAGGCCUAAAAAAAGUAAGACAAAUAAAUCGGAAAUAAUAUUUUUUGAAAAAAAAAAACAAGUUAAGAAUAACAUUCUUGAUUACUUAAUUGAUGCAGCCAAGAAAUCCAGUAACAAAAAUGAAGUACAUGAAGCCGAAUAUGGCGGGUACCCUGGUGAUGGCGAUGGAUACCCUGGCGGCGGCCGUGGUGGUGUUGGUGGCGGAUACCCUGGCGGUGGCCAUGGUGGCGGUGGUGGUGGCCGUGGUGGUGGUGGAUACCCUGGCCAUGGUGGUGGUGGUGGAUACCCUGUCGGUGGUAGUAAAUACUCAGGCAACCGUGGUGGUGGCGGCCGGAAGUGUUGCUCCUAGAUACAAAGGUGAAUAAAUAGUAAUAUAUACUUAUAUCACCUUGUACUAAUUAGUGGCAAGAUGUAGUAGUAAUAUUCUUGCUGCUUUAAAUUUGGAGCUUAUUGUAAGAAUUAUUAUCAUGAAAUAAAAGCCAUCAUGUAAUGUUUGUUAAUUAUGCUAUGGUAUGAUAAUACUUUCCUUUGGUGUUUUACUUAUGGGCGGAAUUCUUAUUUCAUAUUAUUAUAAUUUGUUUCAAUUAACCGUUCACUAUUAUUAUCAAUAUCAAGUAUCAAUAUACAUCAAUAGUGUAAAUUUGCUUAUAUUUUUCUCUUCGAUUUCCGUGGAACUCAUCACACAUUUAUUAUGAAACAUACUUAUAAUGUCCAAAAACUAUGUAAAUUUAGAUUAGGCAAAAUUGAGGGCAUUUAUUAUUCUACGAUUUUCUCAAAUGUUUUGAAUUAUUGAUUAUUGUAGCUCUUUUUUGAAAAACUAAUUAUAGUAGUAUGACUUAUAAUACUUGGUAUUUGGGUCAAAAUAUGUGAUUUUAAAAAAAAAAAUUGGAAAAAUCAAUAUAUGUCUGAAUUCACAAAAAAAAUUCGAAAAUGAUAAUCGAAUUAUAAAAUGAAAUAGGCUUCAUUGUUGGAUUUUAUUAUAAGAAGCAUCACUGUGAAGACAAUCUAGCUACAAACUCUCAUUCCUUGAUAAAAUGAUUAAUUCUCAAACAUUACUAGAAAUUUGCACACCAUUUUUUUAAACCAUAUUUUGCUCCAUAUAUACCUCAUAUUUUGAUAGGAUCAACAAGCAAUAAAAGUAAUUUAUUUUGCUAUGCCAAUAUUUUAUUUAAUAAUAAUUUUAAUUGAGUGAUUUUAUUGAUAGAAAUGUCUAAGUUUAGUGAUUUUAUUGAUACAAAACAAAGUUCAAUGACUUUGUUAGAUAAAUUCUCAAAGUUGGGUGACCUUUUGAGAUAUUAACUCUAUAAUAUGACGACCCUUUCAGUAUAUUGCUUUAGUUAUUGCACUACCGAGAAAUCUAUGAUUUCUAUUCAUAAUUUUAUCAAAUCCGGAGUUAUUCGGACUCCAUUAUAAUAAAAUCAAACCACCGUAAAAUUAAAUACAUAUAGCAUAUACAUAUCAUUUGUAGCCUAAGUAUUUUUUUCAUCUAGUAAUUGUAAGGAGUGAUGCAACUUUGAUUUUACAUGUGUUCAAACUUUUGUAUUGCUCUUUGAUUUCCUUGGUGUCCACAUUGCUUAAUGUCUUAUUAGAACGGGAGCUGUUUAUCCAAUUUUAGACCUUGAGCUACAUGUCAACAAAGGUGGAGUAGAAGGACUUCUGACAUUUACAAAAGUGUUGUAAACCUUGUGAUUAAAGGUACUAUCAAAGGAAAGAAAUGUGUUUUGUAAUAGAAAGUGUCAACAAUGAGCUAACCUAUUGAAAGUUAUGUUGGAAGAGUUUCUUUGAUUUUUGCAGAUAGGAGUGAGCUCAUAGAAAUUUAUAAAUCAAUUCAAUCAUAGAACAAUAUUAAGUAACUAAUUUUACAAGAUCCAAUGAGAAGCAUAGGCUAUAAAGUGAACAUAAUUUUUUUUGUAGAACAUAAUUGUGUUACUUACCUUUCCAAAUUUUGUUCAUAAAUUUUUCCGUAUUCUAAUCAAACGCAUCUUAUAAAUGGACAGUAAUCAAAUGACCAUAUUUGAGAUCACUACAUCAAAAAUAAUCAUUAGCAAAAAUUAAUUUUUAAUUGCCGUUAAAUAUGUAUUUUUAGCGGCAAUUAGCACUCUUUGUAUAUGUCCCUAAAGUCUUUAACGACAUUGGUUCUAAUAGCACUUAACUAAUACCGGUAAAGACUUUAACACUCUUUAUUACUGUCAAUAUUUAUUGCCGCUAAAAGUUAUUUUUGUUGUAGUGGAUACACCCAGUGAAAUUCUUGAAUAUAUAAAGGAAGAAAGUCACUCCAUUCACUCGAGUAUAUAAAAGAAGGAAACUACUCGUAAUUUGAUAACCACAAAUUAAAAUUGAACUUCAUUUUUUGGGCACCUAGAUUUUGAUUCAAAUAUGUAAUAUAUUAUGCUCAAUAUUGUUCUAGUCCAGUUGAAAUCAAUAUUCAAAUUGAAUAAAUUUCAUAAUAUUAUGACGUAGAAAGUCAUAAUAAGCUUGUUUGGAUCAUGCCUUUCCUUGUUGCAUGCUAAAAUCACUAAAUGAUAUAAGACCUCUGACUUUCUUAAAUUAGUGUAUUGUUACAAAUUGGAGUAAUCCUCUCUUAGCAAUUUAGUUUAGGCCACAAGUUUUUGAGACUAAAAAAGACCUGAGAAAUCUUAUGUUUUUGCAAUCGACUUGGCAUUUCAAAAUCAUGUUAGGCAAAGCUUUGUAGUUUAAAGCAAUAUUUUUUAAAAAAAAUAAUAAUAACUUUAUCAAUGAGCUUCAAAAUGCUACAACAGAAAGGACAAUAUCUUUAUUAGCCUUUCUUAAUAUAGUUUAAUUAAUAUUAUUUAUUAUGUCUAAAUGUUAAUAUUUAUCUCAAAAAGUAUGAAUACAGAGCUCAAAUGUUAUGAAUGAAAAUAUGAUUUACUUGAUCUGUUUUCGCCUUCCCUUUCAAUCUUAUCUAAGCUUUGUAACUGAAGGCGUUAUUGUAUGAUCUACUUGUACGAUUUUUACGGCAUAAUAUCUCAUUUAAAACGUAAGAUUAAUGUGUCUACCAAUUCUAGAAAUGUUUAUAGAGAUUUAGGUACGAUAAUAAAAUGAUUAAGCUUCAUCUAUGAAACACGUGUUUUUCGUGAUAUAUCCCUAUUUCUUCUCAUUGAUCUAUUUUCUGUCCUAGCUUUAAGAAAAAAUGCUUUGCAAAAUGGAUGACCUAAUCUGAAAGUUUCCCAUUGAAACUUAAGCCACCAUAGGUAUGAUGUAUUCACAUCCUCUUUCCUUCUUUCUUUCUUAUCAUUUUAAUUGGGGAAAAUACAUAGAAUUCCCCCUGAACUUGGCACGAAAACUUACUUUAGUACUUAAACUACACGAAUGUUUCUUUACCCCCCCCCCCAAUUUAAUUUGAAUUGAAUUUAAUUACCCCUUAAAGAGUGACGUGGCAAAAUUUGUAUCACCAACUUUUCAUAAGCGGGUGAGAAAGGAAAAGACAUCAAAAACUGACACAUAUCAUCUUUUUAUUGGAUAACAUACUUAAUAAUUUAUUUUACUAAUUUUUAAAUAUUUUAUUUUUAAUUAACUUUUCUCUCUCUAUAUUUCUUUUUCUGCAUCUUCUUCUUCAUUUUUUUUUUCCAUUUUUGUUCUUUUUCUAGCAUCUUCUUCUUCUUCUUUUUUUCUCUUCUCAUAACUCUUUCUCUUUUUUAUUCUUUUCAUUUAGUUCAAAUAAACAUUUACUUCCAAAUAUAACUUCUUCCACAUUUUUUCUUCUUCUUUUCUUUUCUAUUUUUAAUCGUUUCUUUCUUCUUCUUUUUUACAAAAUUUUUGGUGUUUGAUUCACCCACCAUUUUUUACAUCAAAGAAGAUUAUUAGAUCUAUCAGUUUAAAUCGUCUUCAGAAUGAAGUUGACUUCCAUUAAAAAAAAAUCGAAGAUAUUGUUGGCAAAAUAUUAACUAUGGAGAUUUCCCCCAAUUCAUUAAUAAUUUUUCAUUUUUAUGCAAAUAUUUUUUUAAAUUUUUGAGGAAGGUGGUAUCGUAUAACUAAACUGAAAAUACAAUUGAAAUUUGAAUUAUAGUUUGUAUAUUGAGGAGUAAAUUCAUUGAUGGGUUUAAUUUUUGGCUCAAUAUUUUUAAAAAACAAUUAUUAUGGAGAUUUAAGCAAUUAAUUAGGAAUUUUGCUAAUGUACACGUGGACGAAUGAAAAACGCGUGUGACUCAACAACACUCAGCCUUCAACUAGGCUGGUGCUGGGAAGUUUGAAAAAAAUCACUUAAAAGAUGUUAAGGGGGUAUAUAAACAUCCGUGUAGUUUAAGUACUAAAGUAAAUUUUCGGACCAAGUUCAGGUGGGUUUUUAUGUAUUUUCCCUUUUAAUUGGCUUUCUUCCACCUAAUUCUUUCAACCAUUCAAAUUUAAUAGUAUUUGUUUUUGUUGUCUUCACACCUUCUUUUCCGAGAUUUAGUUUUACAAACAUAGUAUUUAUUAAUUUAAAUGCAUAAGGUGCAUUAAAUGCCUCAAAUUAGUUGAUAACGAACACAAAAUACAUGAAAAAGACAUAAUACAUGUAGAAAUCAAGAAUAUUUGCUAACAAACAUGUCAAAACUCUAGCACACAUAUUAUACACAUUCACCCCAAUUUCCAACACUCAAUAACAACUAUAAGCAUAAAAAAUUCAUUUGCCAAAACUUUUACAAACACAUAUUAUAUGCCUCAAAAGAGAAGUAGGUUAAGAACAACGUAAGUAGAUAGAAAAAUUCUCCUGAAAACAGAGCGAUAUUCAGCGAGGGAAGAAGAAAGCACUUGUGAAAAUUAAGGAGUAAAUAUCUCAAAGCUCAGUCGAAUUAUGUUGUAAAGUCAUUCAACUUUAUUUUGUAUCAAUGAAAUCAUUGAACUCUUUUAUAAAAUUAGUUGAUCAAAUUUACCAUAAAAAACAUUUUAACAUGAUAAAAUAAAUUAAUUGCUCUCCCACAUAUCUCAAUCUUUUAUAUGUUAUUCUUCUUUUCUGCAAUAAUUACAAAAAAAUUACUCUCCAUUUCAAAAAAUUACAAUCAUGGAUCAAUGAAUUAAGUGUAAGAUAUGAAUUUUUUUUUAAAUUAUUGGUGAAAUUAUUUUUAAAUAUAAUACGAACAAUAUAAUAUGGGAAGAGGAGAAAGUGGAUACCUCAUCACGUUCAGUUUUCAUACGUUCCCUCGAAUGGGUUCGAUUCGCUUCACAAAUUUACUAAAAAGUUCAAAAUUCAUGCCAAUUGUUUUUAACUUGUUCAUGACUUUUAAAUAUUUUAAGAAGUUUCUCGUAAAUAUAUUUUAAAAAAUAAUGAUUUUAUCUUGUAGAAUAAUUUUUAUGGUAAGUUUGAUCGAGUUAUUUUAUAAAAGAAAUAUUCAAAGUUGAGUGAUUUUAUUGAUAUAAAACAAAGUUGAAUAAUUUUACAAUAUAAUUUCUCAAAGUUGAAUGACCUUUUGAGAUAUUUACUCGAAAAUUAAGAGAAAUUUAACGCUUUUGGAAUUAUGAUACUGUAAGGGAAAAAUGGAUCAUUCCAUAGAUAAUAUAAAAAGCAUCUAUGUGUUACACAUAAUACAUGUGUCUUUGUGAUAUGAGUGAGGUAAGCUUAAGAAAAUUACAGAUUUGUCCUUGUUGGUCCUUCCCAACUCCCUACAUAGUACACAUGUCUUUGUGAAAUGAGUGGGGAGUAGUACUUGUUUAAUGAAAUGGCCCCCAAUACAGUACAACUUGUAUUACCUUUGGUACAUCUAUUUGAUGCUAUGUUAGUCCCACUAACUAUAGUACAUGUGUCUUUGUGAUAUGAGUGGGGUAAGCUUAAGAAAAUUACAGAUUUGUCCUUGUUGUUCCUUCCCAACUCCCUACAUAGUACAUGUGUCUUUGUGAAAUGAGUGGGGAGUAGUACUUGUUUAAUGAAGUGGGCUGGUACAACUUAUAUUACCUUUGGUUCAUCUAUUUGAUGUUGUGUUAGUCUCAUCAACUCCCACUUAUAUAUAGGAGUAAUAUUGAAUUUCAAAAUUUUAAUUAUAUCACAUGACACAAAUUUCGGCAGACGAACUAUAACACUGAUAUGCUUCAUCUUUCCGAUGCCCAAAUGGCAAUCACUAUUAAAAAAAAACUCAACGGAUGUUAGUAAUACAAGUAUUUCAAACAUACCAAUAAGUAGUAUUUAUUUGGUAUUAAACAAAAAUAUUUCCUCCGUUUUAAUUUAUUUAUUUGGUUUUGACGUAUGCAGAUUUUAAAAAAAACCAAAGAGAAUUUUUGAAUCUUAUGGUUUAGAAUUUUUGAAUCUUCCGGUAUUAAACAUACCAAUAAGUAGUUGCCGAAGAAGGAAAGUGUCAUUUUUUUUUAGGCCUAAAAAAAGUAAGACAAAUAAAUCGGAAAUAAUAUUUUUUGAAAAAAAAAAACAAGUUAAGAAUAACAUUCUUGAUUACUUAAUUGAUGCAGCCAAGAAAUCCAGUAACAAAAAUGAAGUACAUGAAGCCGAAUAUGGCGGGUACCCUGGUGAUGGCGAUGGAUACCCUGGCGGCGGCCGUGGUGGUGUUGGUGGCGGAUACCCUGGCGGUGGCCAUGGUGGCGGUGGUGGUGGCCGUGGUGGUGGUGGAUACCCUGGCCAUGGUGGUGGUGGUGGAUACCCUGUCGGUGGUAGUAAAUACUCAGGCAACCGUGGUGGUGGCGGCCGGAAGUGUUGCUCCUAGAUACAAAGGUGAAUAAAUAGUAAUAUAUACUUAUAUCACCUUGUACUAAUUAGUGGCAAGAUGUAGUAGUAAUAUUCUUGCUGCUUUAAAUUUGGAGCUUAUUGUAAGAAUUAUUAUCAUGAAAUAAAAGCCAUCAUGUAAUGUUUGUUAAUUAUGCUAUGGUAUGAUAAUACUUUCCUUUGGUGUUUUACUUAUGGGCGGAAUUCUUAUUUCAUAUUAUUAUAAUUUGUUUCAAUUAACCGUUCACUAUUAUUAUCAAUAUCAAGUAUCAAUAUACAUCAAUAGUGUAAAUUUGCUUAUAUUUUUCUCUUCGAUUUCCGUGGAACUCAUCACACAUUUAUUAUGAAACAUACUUAUAAUGUCCAAAAACUAUGUAAAUUUAGAUUAGGCAAAAUUGAGGGCAUUUAUUAUUCUACGAUUUUCUCAAAUGUUUUGAAUUAUUGAUUAUUGUAGCUCUUUUUUGAAAAACUAAUUAUAGUAGUAUGACUUAUAAUACUUGGUAUUUGGGUCAAAAUAUGUGAUUUUAAAAAAAAAAAUUGGAAAAAUCAAUAUAUGUCUGAAUUCACAAAAAAAAUUCGAAAAUGAUAAUCGAAUUAUAAAAUGAAAUAGGCUUCAUUGUUGGAUUUUAUUAUAAGAAGCAUCACUGUGAAGACAAUCUAGCUACAAACUCUCAUUCCUUGAUAAAAUGAUUAAUUCUCAAACAUUACUAGAAAUUUGCACACCAUUUUUUUAAACCAUAUUUUGCUCCAUAUAUACCUCAUAGUUUGAUAGGAUCAACAAGCAAUGAGAUGAGUCUGUCCAUAAAUCCACAAUUAGUACUUAUAAAAUCAUUCUUUUCGAAAGAAAGUGUCAAGUGUGUUGGAUUUAUAGCUUGUUCUACAGCAAACAUUGGUACUUGAGUAGGAUAGAGCAAUUCCGUGUUUAUAUCUUUCCAUGCAUUACUCAUUAUCUUCUGAACCUCGAUAUAUGUCUCUUGCUUUGAAACUACACGUUCUUUCAUAUAACAUUCAAGGAAUGAUGGUAUAUGUGUUCUUUGUUGUUCAAACUGCAUCAAAUAGAUUUUAAUAUGCUCAAUACAAUAAUAUAUUUAAUUUUUAUCAAAUUCAUUUAUUAUCUUACAUGAUGUCCAAUAAUGUCGUCCUUUAAUAGACUUAAUACUGAUGAAGCUUGAAGAACCGAAGAAUCACUUGUUACCCAUUCCAAAGUUUCUUUGGUUAUAAUAAAUUCCUCCAAACAUACCAAGGAAAUUGUUGCAAUCAAUUUGAUGGCAAUGCUUGUAAUUGCAUUUUCCAUAUACUCCUCACAUUUUGGAAAAUAGCAAGCAUUCAACCAUUGUGCUUCCUUGAAAUAUUAUUUCAUCCAUUUUUUCAUCUAUAAAGAAACAAUAUAAAAAGUAAAAUUAGAUAAUAAGCAUACUUUAUCUAGUUUUGGAUUGUAAUUUUGUCACGCUCCGAGCCUACAUCCUGGGCGGGACUGGCACUCGAAGACCAUUGCUGGCCACAAGUGAACCCUUGGUCUGGCUUACUUACUCAGUGGAAGACAAUAUUCAUACUUAAUGAUCAAUAACACUUAACUGAACUAAAUCAUAGGAUAACUGAGAAUGUUAAAAGCUAAACAUUCAACUUGGCCAAAAGUGGCAACCCAAGUCUUAACAAUAAGAAAUGAUAUUGAAAAAACUCAAAGGACUAACAUAUGACUGUCUAUGAAGCCUCUAAUGACCAAUGAGAUGGAUGUUGGGACAGACCCCACAACAUCCUAAUUAACUAAACUAGAAAGCAAUGAAAUGGAUGCUCCGGAAAGCAAGGAGGCUUACCAACAGACUCUGGACUGCUCACUGGAUCAACGAUGCACCGGAAUGUCGAUCCUAGUUACAUGUGUCUGCAUCAUAAUACGAUGCAGGCCAACUGACAUCAGUACAUUGAAUGUACGAGUAUGCGAGUUGGAAUGCUAAAAUAACAUAGGCAUGAAAGAAUUUGAGAGAAACUGAAGAACUUACCUAGCUCAACUCAACUCAACAUGACAGAAUUCAUUUCAAUAUAAAGCAGUUCAAAAGCAAGUGCAAUAUAAAGAAAAGUUGUUUAAAAACAUGAUAUCAACUCUGUGUGUAUACAAGAUACAAAUAACUCUGAAAUGUAUUUAAAAAUACAAUGAACUGAUGUAUAUAAAAAUACAAGAACUUAUGUGGGAGUUUCUCUAACCGACAACCAUCACUUAAGAGCUAUAGUGAUGAUACAACGAUCUNNNNNNNNNNNNNNNNNNNNNNNNNNNNNNNNNNNNNNNNNNNNNNNNNNNNNNNNNNNNNNNNNNNNNNNNNNNNNNNNNNNNNNNNNNNNNNNNNNNNNNNNNNNNNNNNNNNNNNNNNNNNNNNNNNNNNNNNNNNNNNNNNNNNNNNNNNNNNNNNNNNNNNNNNNNNNNNNNNNNNNNNNNNNNNNNNNNNNNNNNNNNNNNNNNNNNNNNNNNNNNNNNNNNNNNNNNNNNNNNNNNNNNNNNNNNNNNNNNNNNNNNNNNNNNNNNNNNNNNNNNNNNNNNNNNNNNNNNNNNNNNNNNNNNNNNNNNNNNNNNNNNNNNNNNNNNNNNNNNNNNNNNNNNNNNNNNNNNNNNNNNNNNNNNNNNNNNNNNNNNNNNNNNNNNNNNNNNNNNNNNNNNNNNNNNNNNNNNNNNNNNNNNNNNNNNNNNNNNNNNNNNNNNNNNNNNNNNNNNNNNNNNNNNNNNNNNNNNNNNNNNNNNNNNNNNNNNNNNNNNNNNNNNNNNNNNNNNNNNNAAAUCCUAGAUUCCCCUUUUACUGAUUUAAACGUAGAUGUAGGGCGUGAGUAUAAACUAGUCCAACACUAUGAUAGCCUUACAUACUUGAAUAAAACAAGGUUCUUGAAGAAUCUUGAAGAAGAACUUGAUUAGAAGCCUUGAAACCCUAGCUUGAAGGUAAACAAUCAAGAAGACCUUUCUUGAGAUUCUCGAGUUAGUUUCUUAAAAUCUCUAUAGCCAAAAAUUAUGAUUUUCAUGAGUGAAGAUGAAAAUCUGAUUGUUUUGAGCUUUUUAUUAGUUCAAGAAAUUCGUUGAUGGUUUUCUUGGAGGUAAAAAGACAAAAACGAUUAUUUUCAAUAUUUUCCCGUCGGCUAAUUCGUAACAGCACUGUAUAGGUUACUAAAAUAGUCAUAACUUUUUACUCAGAUAUUGGAUUGACAUGAAACUAGUGGGGUUAGAAAGUAGAUUCAAUUACCUUUAAUUGGAUAGGUUAUGACUCACGUAACUCUUAAUAUUCUAAGAGAUACGGUCGUUUAAAGUUGACCUAAGCAAAAUUUUACUUCAAAACUUAAUGAAACUUCAAGAACACUUAUCAAGAACUCAUCAAGAACUCUAAUCUUUAAAUUUCAUGAACGAAAUUACGCUAAAUAAAUCAUGAUUGGUGUGUGGGUGAAAGAACCCAACACUAUGGAAGCUUACAUACCUUAAUGGAUUGAAUCCUCGGCGAAAUUCCCAAGCAAUUCCUUACGACGACGAAGAAUCUAGCUUUUUCCUCCUUUUCUCUUUUCUUGCGUUCCUCCUCCAAAACCCUAGCUCUAUUUGGUAAAUGUCUAAAUUGAUCUAAUUCAGUUUAGACCCCUUAUUAAUUACCAAAAACGAUUUAAAAUAAGGGUAAGGAAAAGACCAAACUACCCUUUAAAAUCCGGAUUGGACAUUUCCUUAAUCCAACAGCCCAAUUUCCAAAGGGCAUAUCUUACUCCUACGAAAUCGGAAUCGCGCAAACUUGGCGGCGUUGGAAAGAUAGUUCCAAGAACUUUCCAACCAUAUCUAUAAUUACUCCUAACUCAUCCUGAGCUAGGAGUUAUGAUCAUUUGAAAAUGACAAAAACUCAACUUUUCUUGCUUACAAUUUUCCAGAUUUCCCUUGAACGUUCCAAAAACGAAAAUUUCCAGAUUUAAACUACAUUCUAAUUAUUUCUAGAUGCGGGAUGUUACAGAUUUCACUAAUUAUCACAUGACUUUUGUUUUAUCGUGUACCAAAUUCACUAAAUUAUUUUUCCAUGGUAAUUAUAUUUUCUUCAUACGUUCACACCGACAAGUAAAAGUGAAAAUGUAUUUUUGAAACACUGGACAAAUAAAAAUGAAUAGAGUGAGAGUAAUUAUUUUACAUAGAUUAAUUAAUGAGGAUGAGUUAUCAAGCAAGCUUAAUUACCUCAACUUUUGCAUAGUAGGCCCGGUCUGCUUUACCUUCUUUUUUCAAUUCAUCUUCUAUUUCAUUUAUAAUUUGCUAUUUCAUACAAUUUUUCCUAAUAAUAUACCACAGAAUUUAACAUGGGCCGGGUUCAAACUCUUAUUAUAAUAAUGUUUUUUUAAUGCGUCAUAAUUCAAUAUCAACAUUAAUUUAGGAGAUUUAUGAAAUUAUUUUAUCGCGGAAUUGAAUCCACUAUGACCAUAGUUUGUAUUAUCGAUCAUAGAAAUUAUCACAAAACAAAUUAAUCCUUUGAUUUCUCCAUACACUCAUAUUGUGUGUAUAUUUACUUUUAUAUGUAUACCAUAAAUAUAAAUAAGAGGACGCUAGUUAAUAUAUGCUAACGAGCUAAUUAACAGUAGUACUCUUAUGAAUAAAUCCGACUCAAUAAUAAUUUUCGAGUUUAGUGGUUGGUUGGUUGGUGAGCAUAAUUAAUUAAUACAUUUUUUUGUGAUAAGCAGAACUAACAAACAAGACGUUUUGUCAACACAAUUGGUAAGUGUCUGUUUGACAUUUUCCACAAGCAUUUAUUCGUCGGCAUUAAUAAAACUGUAUGUAUGUGGCUAUUAGAGCCUGUUAUCUUUUCAUAUAUAUAUAUAUAUAUACUAGAUAAUGUUGCCCGUGCUAUGCACGGGACCAAUAAUAUAAAUGGUGUGUUUUGGGGCUAAUAAUCGAGUUUUUGAAGCAAUUGUUUGCGUGGAUAAAGGAAUAAAUUUUUUUAUCACAAACCUGUACUUUCUUUGACGCUAUUUAAGGCAUAAUAAGACAACCCACAUACAACAUUUUUGAAAUAUUUUAUGUUGUCAAUUAUCAUGAUUUAUAGUAUUUUUACGAUAGAUUCACUUCAAGAAUCAGUGGAAUUUUUUGUAUUUUUUUUCAAAACAUAUUUUAUAUUGUCAAUUAUCAUGAUUUAUAGUAUUUUUACGAUAGAUUCACUUCAAGAAUCAGUGGAAUUUUUUGUAUUUUUUUUCAAAACAUAUUUUAUAUUGUCAAUUAUCAUGAUUUAUAGUAUUUUUACGAUAGAUUCACUUCAAGAAUCAGUGGAAUUUUUUGUAUUUUUUUUCAAAACAUAUUUUAUAUUGUCAAUUAUCAUGAUUUAUAGUAUUUUUACGAUAGAUUCACUUCAAGAAUCAGUGGAAUUUUUUGUAUUUUUUUUCAAAACAUAUUUUAUAUUGUCAAUUAUCAUGAUUUAUAGUAUUUUUACGAUAGAUUCACUUCAAGAAUCAGUGGAAUUUUUUGUAUUUUUUUUCAAAACAUAUUUUAUAUUGUCAAUUAUCAUGAUUUAUAGUAUUUUUACGCAAUUUUUAAAUAUAAAAAAAAAUAAGACAAAUAAAUUAAAAUGGACCCAAUAUAUGUUAUUUUUGUUGUGAAAUUUGGAGAGUCGUCCAAAUUUUCAUAUAUUUUUUAAAAAUGUUUUAAGUUAUUAAUUAUUGUGAUUUAUAAUAUUUUUAUGUAACUUUUAAAUAACGUACAUUACUGGUCACUUUGUCCUAAUUUAUGUGAUAUGGAUAAAAUUACAAAAUUAACCCUUUUAAAAUGUCUUUCAGAUAUUUUAAGUUGUUAAUUAUUAUUAUUUAUAAUACUUUUUUGGUAAUUUUAAAAUGAUAUGUGUUAUUUUUUCUGUCCCAAUAUAUGUGAGCCUGAUAGAAUUCUGAGAGUCAACGUAUUUUAUUAUAUAGCUUUUUAAAAUAUUUUAAAAUUGGUAAUUAUUGUAAUUUUUAAUGCUUUUUAAGUCAUUUGUAAAUGAUAUAUGUGCCAGAUCAGUCGAUUUUUUUAUAUGUUUUCUUAAAAAUAUAUUUGAAGUUAUUAAAUUGUUGUGAUUUAUAGUAUUUUUGCGUUAGUUUUGAAUAAUAUAGGUUACUCAUAUUUCAAUUCACGUGAAUAAUAAUAAAUAUUUUCAGUUGUUAAUUUAUUGUGAAUUCUAGAAAUUUUGACGUUAUUUUCAAAUAGUACAUGUUACUUAUUCUAUUCCAAUUAGUCAACCAAAUUCCAUAUAUGAUUUAAAAAUAUUUUUAAUUGCUAAUUAUUGUGAUUUAUAGCAUCUUUUAUGUAACUUUUAAUAAUAUAUAAUUUGUUCAAAUUCAUAUGACAAUGAUAAGAUUUCAAGAGUCAACGCAAUAAAAAUUUAAAUUUUUUAAAAAGUUGUACCUCUAAUAUAUUUUGUAGCUAAAAUAUACUCUCUCCGUCCACUUGUAUUUGUCAUGUUGCGCUUUUUGAAAGUCCAUUUGACUAAUUUUCAAAGUUAAAUCAGAUUGUAUUAAUGUAUUUUUAGAAAAAAAUUUAAAUAUGCAAAAUCUAUACAAAAAGUACUAUAAAUCGUAAUUUUUUGCCUAUGAUUAUGAUGAAAAAACACAUUGUAAAAUAUUAGUUAAAAUUCUUAUAGUUUGACUCUAAAAAGGAAAUCAUAACAAUUAAAAGUGCAUAGAGAGAGUAAUAAAUAGGUAAUUAAAUUUCAAGAAGUUUAAAAUAAAAGGUUGAAAAAAAGAAUUAGAUAGACAACAUUUAUUGAAAAUUGAAAACAUAUAAAUAAUAAAUGGGCCCAAAUGAGGUCAAACUUUUUGGCUUAAAUUGUCCAAUAAUAUAAAUUUUAAAGGUACAACCAUAAAAGAAGAAUGUACAACACUAGCAAGCACAUAUCAUCCAACAUUUGUCAUGUGCUAAGUAGUAGUUAUCCCCACUUAUUAUAUAUAAUAAUAUAUAUACAUAAUUUUAUGUUAAAAAUAUGUUUGAUACGAUAAAAAAAUAUUAUUUCAAAAAUAUUUAUAAUAUAAUCAGACAAACACUCUGAGGUUGGAAGAGGGAUGGAUGAAGGCGAGGGGGAUGGGGGGGGGGGGUGUUGAGAGCCUGUCGGAGCAUGGGUUUCGAGAGGAGGUGUGGUGCAUGGUAGGAUAGGGACGUAGAGACGAGGGUGAACUAGAGAGACAAUCAAGUUAGAAUAACACUAAUGUAAAAUUUAUUUUUUCCAUCAUGUAUACCAUUUUUAGAGAAUACAAGUCACUUACUUUUUUUUAAUAAAAUAUUUUUAGAAAAUUUUGACAAUGAAGAAACACAAAAGAGUCACAUGACUAUGUUUAUUUCAAUGCAAUAUAUUAUAUUCAUUUUUGUAUGAUAUAAAUCCAAUAAAACAUCAACAUUUAAUAUACCAUUUCCCCACAAGAGCCGUCGACUACUUUGCUAACAAAAAGAUUUUGGUGAUCUUAUAAUGUGUCCAAAAUGGAUAAUGAACCCACAUAAAUUCGUAUAGGGGUGUGCAAAAAUCGAUUUAACCAAUAAACUGAACCAAAAAAAACA